RNAcentral lists this ribosomal RNA (454 nucleotides) under uncultured bacterium. Its description in RNAcentral is "bacterial SSU rRNA". It matches the Rfam family "Bacterial small subunit ribosomal RNA", at positions 340 to 786 of the family's 1533-position model. The record is from RNAcentral.
UACGGAAGGCAGCAGUGGGGAAUAUUGCACAAUGGGCGCAAGCCUGAUGCAGCCAUGCCGCGUGUAUGAAGAAGGCCUUCGGGUUGUAAAGUACUUUCAGUCGUGAGGAAGGUGUUAAGGUUAAUAACCUUAGCAAUUGACGUUAGCGACAGAAGAAGCACCGGCUAACUCCGUGCCAGCAGCCGCGGUAAUACGGAGGGUGCGAGCGUUAAUCGGAAUUACUGGGCGUAAAGGGCACGCAGGCGGUUAAUUAAGUUGGAUGUGAAAUCCCCGGGCUUAACCUGGGAAUGGCAUUCAAGACUGGUUAGCUAGAGUCUUGUAGAGGGGGUUAGAAUUCCAUGUGUAGCGGUGAAAUGCAUAGAGAUGUGGAGGAAUACCGGUGGCGAAGGCGGCCCCUGGACAAAGGACUGACGCUCAUGUGCGAAAGCGUGGGGAGCAAACAGGAUUAGAUACC